This 22-nucleotide microRNA is filed under the name Cervus elaphus (red deer). RNAcentral describes it as "PC-5p-49023". Lineage: Eukaryota; Metazoa; Chordata; Mammalia; Artiodactyla; Cervidae. The record is from RNAcentral. RNAcentral also lists the same sequence under 1 other name.
AUAGCCAGUUGGGGAAGAAUGC